RNAcentral lists this ribosomal RNA (225 nucleotides) under Jesogammarus jesoensis. RNAcentral's name for it is "partial 12S ribosomal RNA". Lineage: Eukaryota; Metazoa; Arthropoda; Malacostraca; Amphipoda; Anisogammaridae. The record is from RNAcentral.
UUAAGUCCGCCUACCUUUUAAUAUUAAAUUUACACGUUUAAUAAUUCUUAUUGUAACUAACUAGCACUUAUAAAUAUCUGCACCUUGAUCUAGCAUCUUUAAACAUCGCUAUACCAUCUAAAGAUUACCUAAAUAACGAUGUACUUAAAUUAAAUAAGAAAAAUAGAGCCUCGUCUAUUAAGCGCAAGUUCCCCUAAUUUAUAUGAGCCGCCAAAUCAUCUAAUU